UACGUAGGGGGCAAGCGUUGUCCGGAAUUAUUGGGCGUAAAGCGCGUGUAGGCGGUCCGCUAAGUCGGCUGUGAAAGUCGGGGGCUCAACCCUCGAAUGCCGGUGGAUACUGUCGGGCUAGAGUGCGGAAGAGGCGAGUGGAAUUCCUGGUGUAGCGGUGAAAUGCGCAGGUAUCAGGAGGAACACCUAUUGCGAAGGCAGCUCGCUGGGACGUUACUGACGCUGAGACGCGAAAGCGUGGGGAGCAAACAGG
This 253-nucleotide ribosomal RNA is filed under the name uncultured bacterium. RNAcentral's name for it is "partial 16S ribosomal RNA". It matches the Rfam family "Bacterial small subunit ribosomal RNA", at positions 524 to 776 of the family's 1533-position model. The record is from RNAcentral.